GACGAACCGUCCUAACGUUGUUCGGAAUCACUGGGCUUAAAGGGCGCGUAGGCGGGCUCUCAAGUCCGGGGUGAAAUCUUUCGGCUCAACCGGAAAAUAGCCUUGGAUACUGGGAGUCUCGAGGGAGGUAGGGGCGGGUGGAACUUCCGGUGGAGCGGUGAAAUGCGUUGAUAUCGGAAGGAACGCCGGUGGCGAAAGCGACCCGCUGGACCUCUUCUGACGCUGAGGCGCGAAAGCCAGGGGAG
This 245-nucleotide ribosomal RNA is filed under the name uncultured Gemmata sp. Its description in RNAcentral is "partial 16S ribosomal RNA". It matches the Rfam family "Bacterial small subunit ribosomal RNA", at positions 524 to 768 of the family's 1533-position model. The record is from RNAcentral. Lineage: Bacteria; Pseudomonadati; Planctomycetota; Planctomycetia; Gemmatales; Gemmataceae.